Pogoniulus pusillus (Red-fronted tinkerbird) is the source of this 1592-nucleotide long non-coding RNA. RefSeq lists it as uncharacterized. The record is from RefSeq and is a predicted model, not a curated record. The transcript has 3 exons. Lineage: Eukaryota; Metazoa; Chordata; Aves; Piciformes; Lybiidae.
GUUAAACUGGCCUGGCAGGAUUUAUGACCUAGCAGGACAAGGAGUCACUUCUGCCAGUUAGAUGACAGCUUUCUUACUGUUUUCCAGGUUACAAUGCUAUGAAGUAGAAAUAGACAUAAAUAUCAAAUGAGGAAAAGUCACAGCAGCAUUAAUCACUAGGCAUUAACAUGGCUAUUCUGUCUGAGGAACUGACAGAGCUGGACCUUUAGGAUCAUCAAAUCUGCUGUUUGUUGUGAGCUGCAUGAUCAUAUGGAUUCCAUAGGACAGGAUCCACAGUAAAAUGAUAGACGUCACCAAGCCCAUCCAGAUUCCAGGAGUGAAGAAACCUGUACAGUCACUUGCAUAGGAAAAUUGGUUGUUUUCAACAUUAAAGCCUUGAAUCUGAAAAAUGAAGAAAGGCAAACAGAGAAGACAGACAGGUGCUUGAACAUCUGGAUGCCUUCAGCUACUGAGAAAGCUGAGAUGAUGCUUCUUCCAGCAAGCUACUGCCCACUGCUCCUACCUGUGCUGCUUACUUCACUUCUCUAAAAUUAUCACAAUCAGAAACAUUCUACAACUGCUCCCUAACAUCUCACAUCUCAGUGGCAACUGCAGGAGAAUGAAUGGAACUACUGCUUGUGCUAGAAAAGAAGAACAGCAUCUGUUUGCACAGGAUGAGCUAUCACAGCUGUUAGUAGGAGGUGGGAUAUAUCUAGCUGCUUAGCAUGAGUCAGUAGAAUAGUGGUGGUAAGGGCAGGCUCUAGAUCCAGCUCAUGCUGAUGAAGUUAAAGCCUCUUUUGUUGACAAACAAUUCAUCUGUUUGAAUGUGGUCCUCUCUGGUGUGGCUCUAUGGCUUGAAGAGACGAUCCCUCACACCAAACUAAAUGACCCUUACAGGGAAAAGAAAUGCAGGCCUGGGUCUAAGCCAGGAGUCAUCUAGAACAGGAAGUGUAAUCAAAGUUAACCAGAAGGGAAAACAGAGUUUAAAAUGUAUUUCCAUGGGUUUUAGAAGCUCUUGACAUUAAACAUGCUGAGAUAAACAAGGUGAAUAAAGUGUUGCUGAGUCAUGAAAAGAUCGAUGGACUGUGCUGAUUCUGCUGAGUAUAUCUCUCUGUUUGCAUUAUAUGCCAUGCAAUGUACUACAUAGAUAACAAUCCUGAAGUUACAACUGUCUCAUAAUCAGGAGAUAAUCCAACAGAAAACAGCACCAUGUGUGUCUUUAUUAGAAAGUUUUCUCUUACAAACACUUUUGAGUUGUGGAUGCCAGGCAGCAGUCAAGCACUCAUGUGGCCACUUGCUCAGUCCCUGUCAUCAACAAGACAAGGUGGGAAGAACAGAAAGAAGAAAUGAGGAAACUUGUGGGUUGAAAUGAAAACAGCUUAGUAAGUGAAGAAAUGAGAUUAAAAGUUAAUACAGAAGCAAUCAUUCUCUACCUCCCACAAUCAACAGCACAGUUGAAUGCCUGGCCAAUGACUACCUUGGAAGUCAACUCCCAACUUCUUCCUCUAUUCUAUUUCUCAUUGCUAAGCACCUGUGUCACACACUAAAAAAGAAUCAAUUUAGACAUCUUUGUGUCUAAAUGCCCUGAAGGCCUAUUAAGAACCUGGAUCACA